UCACCCUAAUUUCUUGCCUUCUUUUGGAUUUUUUAAAUUAUUUCAAUUUCUUCUACUAUGGUACGUGUGUACAACGUGCAGGUUUGUUACAUAUGUAUACAUGUGCCAUGCUGGUGUGCUGCACCCAUUAAUUCGUCAUUUAGCAUUAAGUAUAUCUUUCAAUAUAAUCUAAGGGGAAUCUCUGGAGCACAAAUUGCACCACAGAGUUAGUCCUCCUUGAAAGAAGGGGGCUUUUUGUACUCCUGUCAGUCAAACAUUAUUGAUUCCAUGUCUUUGCUAUUGUGAAUAUUGCUGCAAUGAACAUAUGUGUGCCUGUAUCUUUAU
This 324-nucleotide long non-coding RNA is filed under the name Pan troglodytes (chimpanzee). Its description in RNAcentral is "long non-coding RNA NONPTRT012439". The record is from RNAcentral. Lineage: Eukaryota; Metazoa; Chordata; Mammalia; Primates; Hominidae.